This 298-nucleotide ribosomal RNA is filed under the name uncultured alpha proteobacterium 417ev. RNAcentral describes it as "partial 16S ribosomal RNA". It matches the Rfam family "Bacterial small subunit ribosomal RNA", at positions 9 to 335 of the family's 1533-position model. Lineage: Bacteria; Pseudomonadati; Pseudomonadota; Alphaproteobacteria. The record is from RNAcentral.
GAGUUUGAUCCUGGCUCAGAAUGAACGCUGGCGGCAUGCCUAACACAUGCAAGUCGAACGAACCCUUCGGGGUUAGUGGCGCACGGGUGCGUAACGCGUGGGAAUCUACCCCUUGGUUCGGAAUAACAGCGAGAAAUUGCUGCUAAUACCGGAUGAUGACGUAAGUCCAAAGAUUUAUCGCCGAGGGAUGAGCCCGCGUAGGAUUAGCUAGUUGGUGUGGUAAAGGCGCACCAAGGCGACGAUCCUUAGCUGGUCUGAGAGGAUGAUCAGCCACACUGGGACUGAGACACGGCCCAGA